CUCCUUUACCUUUGUGCUCCUUACUGCUCCUUGCAGGCCCUUCCUGCUCCUUGCAGGCCCUUCCUGCUCAUUCUCCUACUUUAUGUUUGUGCUCCUUCUGCCCCUUCCAGCUUAUUUCUGACCCUUUGUGCUCCUUCUACUUUACCUUUGUGCUGCUUUACCUUCCAGCUCCUUGCUGACCCUUCCUGUUCAUUUCUGUUCCUUUGUGCUCCUUCUCCUACUUUACCUUUUGUGCUCC
This is a non-coding RNA of Pelobates cultripes (western spadefoot toad), 238 nucleotides long. Lineage: Eukaryota; Metazoa; Chordata; Amphibia; Anura; Pelobatidae. The record is from the annotation of a GenBank genome assembly.